GAUGAACGCUGGCGGCGUGCUUAAUACAUGCAAGUCGAGCGAACGGACGAGAAGCUUGCUUCUCUGGUGUUAGCGGCGGACGGGUGCGUAACACGUGGAUAACCUACCUAUAAGACUGGGAUAACUUCGGGACACCGGAGCUAAUACCGGAUAAUAUUUUGAACCGCAUGGUUCAAUAGUGACAGACGGUCUUGCUGUCACUGAUAGAUGGAUCCGCGCUGCAUUAGCUAGUUGGUAAGGUAACGGCUUACCAAGGCAACGAGGCAUAGCCGACCAGGGAGGGGGAUAGUCCACACUGGAAGUGAGUCACGGGCCAGACUCCUACGGGAGGCCGCAGUAGGGAAUCAUCCGCAGUGGGCGAGAGCCUGACGGAGCAACGCCGCGUGAGUGAUGAAGGUCAUCGGGUCGGAAGGCUCUGGUAUUAGGGAAGAACAUAUGUGUAAGUAACUGUACACAUCAUGACGGUACCUAAUCAGAAAGCCACGGCUAACUAUGUG
RNAcentral lists this ribosomal RNA (497 nucleotides) under uncultured bacterium. RNAcentral describes it as "partial 16S ribosomal RNA". It matches the Rfam family "Bacterial small subunit ribosomal RNA", at positions 28 to 507 of the family's 1533-position model. The record is from RNAcentral.